This is an RNA transcript of Pseudopipra pipra, 9574 nucleotides long. It is a transcript of the gene named natriuretic peptide receptor 3, with no coding region annotated. The record is from RefSeq and is a predicted model, not a curated record. The transcript is spliced from 9 exons. Lineage: Eukaryota; Metazoa; Chordata; Aves; Passeriformes; Pipridae.
GCCGCCGCCGCUCCCGCGCUACUUAAGCGCGGAGGGCGCAGCCCGGCAGCCCCGCGGGGAGAUCCGGCGGAGGGCGAGCAAUCAUAGUAGUAGUCGUCUAUCUCUAAGAGAACGAGAAAAGCACAGCCGGGAUGCUCCGUCCGUGACCCGCAGGCGGGGAAAGGGGUGGGGGGGCCAGGUUGUGAGUCCGCCAAACACCUGAGAAAUAAAGCACGACCGAACAAUUUUCGAGGCGGGCGGGGGAAGUGGGGGGCGAAAAGUUUGCCGGAGCUCGGGCGUCUCUGGGGGGGGCGGGCGCGAUGCCGCCCUGGCUGCUCGGCAGCCUCUGCUGCGUCCUGGCGGCGCGGGCGGCGCUGGGCGGCGGCUCCGCGGGCGCGGAGGAGGAGGAGGAGGAGAAGCUGAUCCGGGUGCUGGUGCUGCUGCCGCAGGACGACGCCUACCUCUUCUCGCUGGGGCGGGUGCGCCCGGCCAUCGAGUACGCGGUGCGGAGCCUGCGGGAGAGCGGCGCGGGUCUGCCGCCCGGCUACUCCUUCCAGCUCACCUACGAGGACUCGGCGUGCGGCAACCGCGCCCUGUUCAGCCUGGUGGACAUGGUGGCCCUGCAGCGCCGCCGCCCCGACCUGCUGCUGGGGCCCGUGUGCGAGUACGCGGCGGCGCCCGUGGCGCGGCUGGCGGCGCACUGGGACGUGCCGAUGCUGUCGGCGGGCGCGCUGGCCGCGGGCUUCGGCGCCAAGGCCGGCGAGUACUCGCACCUCACCCGCGUGGCCCCCGCCUACGCCAAGAUGGGCGAGAUGCUGCUGGCCCUCUUCCGCCACCACCAGUGGAACCGGGCCACGCUGCUCUACAGCGACAGCAACCCCGAGCGCAGCUGCUACUUCGCCAUGGAGGGCGUCCAUGUGGUCUUCCAGGAGGAAGCCUUCCACAUGGCCGUGCACAGCUUCGACGAGACCAGCCGCCACCUCGACCUCGACGACGUCGUCCGCGCUCUCCAGACCGGCGAGAGGGUUGUAAUCAUGUGUGCCAGCGGUGACACUAUCAGGAACAUCAUGUUGGCUGCUCAUCGGCAAGGAAUGACCAACGGGGACUACGCUUUCUUCAACAUUGAACUCUUCAACAGCUCAUCAUAUGGAAAUGGUUCUUGGAGAAGAGGAGACAAACAUGACCUUGAAGCCAAGAAAGCAUACUCGUACCUCCAGACUGUCACUCUGCUAAGGACCGUGAAGCCUGAGUUUGAGAAGUUUUCAUUGGAGGUGAAAAGUUCUGUUCAGAAGCAAGGUCUUCAUGAGGAUGACUAUGUGAACAUGUUUGUGGAAGGAUUCCAUGAUGCUAUUCUUCUUUAUGCUCUAGCUUUACAGGAGGUCCUGAAGUUUGGUUUCACUAAGAAAGAUGGGGAAAAAAUUGUUCAGCAAACACGGAACAGAACAUACGAAGGCAUUGCAGGGCAGGUGUCCAUUGAUGCAAACGGAGACAGAUACGGGGAUUUCUCUGUGAUUGGAAUGACAGACCCAGAGGCAGGCACACAGGAGGUGAUCGGGGACUACUAUGGAAAGCAGGGGCGUUUUGAGAUUCGGUCAAAUGUGAAAUACCCUUGGAAUCAUGGCAGGCUGCGGCUAGAUGAAAGCCGAGUUUCAGAGCACACAAACAAUACACCGUGUAAAUCAUCAGGUGGUCUAGGAGAAUCAGCAGUUACAGGAAUAGUUGUGGGUGCCUUGCUUGGAGCAGGAUUGCUAAUGGCUUUUUACUUUUUCAGAAAGAAAUACAGAAUAACUAUUGAGAGACGAACUCGACAGGAGGACUGUAACAUGGGGAAACAUCGGCAGUUACGUGAAGACUCCAUUAGAUCUCAUUUUUCUGCUGCAUAAAGAAGAGGAAAAAGAAUCCCAUUCUUCCUAGGGAAAAAAAAAUAAUUAGGGAAAAGGACAAAACCAAAGACAUCAGUGUAAAAAGAGGCUCUUGAAGAACAUACUCUUUUAAGCAGUAAUUUUGUCUUAAUUUCUUUCAGAAGCUCAGGAAUGAUUUACUAAUCACAUUAUGCCGCAUGGCCUUUCAUCUCAUGAAAAAAGAAAAUUAUGCGGUUUGAUGUUAUAGGGUGUACUUAAUAUGUAAAGACAGUAUUUCUUAAAGCAUGUAUUGAGGGCAGCAGAUCUGGGUUUAGUUGAUGGGGAAUGCCUGCCUCAUUGUGUUCCUUUUUUUUUUUUUUAGCUUCUACCACCUUCUUCCAUAAUUGCAUCUCAUCCAUGGGUGUCAGAUAUGGUUUCACAGGCACAGGUGCUGGUUGCUGUCAAAAGGAAAAAAAGAGGUUUAUUUGGGGUAUGAUCCUGCAUCACUGAAUCACUGCCAUUGGUUAUAGGGGAUAUAAGAUUUGGUGUACGGAGUUUAUUUCUGGGAGAGAACUGGCACUUGGGUCUAAUUAACUCCACUGAAAAAGGCAGGUGGAAACAGACACAAUUCUUUCCUUGUUUGUGUGGUAUCACAAUCAAAAGCACUGUUUCUCCUUCUUAAAUGCUGGGAGUUACGAAAGUCUUCAGUGAAGAAUGGGGAGUUUCGGUGGUGUGAAAUAGGGAGAGAAGACAAUCAGGCCUUGGAGAGGACUGUUUAAUUCCUCAGUCUUACAUGUGUUUUAUCACGGUCUUUUCUCUCCACUGCCGUGACUUUUCAGAGUGGCAAAUAUAGGCCGUGUCGAGCCUGCUCCUGUUCUCAGUGAAGUCAGUGGCAAAAUCCCAUUAACUUCAAUGAGCACAGGACUGCAUCCAAAACUGUAAAUAUGAAAGUGUUUGUAUAGCUGACGCAAUUCAAAAGGGGAUCUUUUUUUUGUGUAAAAAUGACAUUCCAUGCUUCCAUUUUAUUUUUGGGAUAUUUUUUAUCUUGUAUUUUUCUAUUAAAGUAUCUAUUUUUGCUUUGGUAGGAUUAAAAAUAAAGGAAGAGGAUGUUUUGAAGACAUAUUUUUUAUGAUAGGAGUAGUAUGCAGGGAAAGUCAACAGCUGUAAAUACAUUUUAGAACUAGCAUUUAGGGGAGGAGAAGUGACUUUGUUGAUAGUAACAGACUUUCUUCUCCAGGCAUGUGCAACAUUCAAGUAGUUACUUAAACAAUAUAAAUGCAGUUAUUGAGUUGUCAAUGGGAUGAUGGCACUGACGGUGAAAAUUACGAAUUUUUCAUGUUAAAGGGUCCUACAGAAGUUGGUGAGAUUUAGCUGUCCAUGUGUGUACAAUUGAACAGCCAAGGAACUACCUUCAGGAAUUGGGUGGUAAAACACUCUUCUAGUGGUGACUUUAAUCCUGCUGCCGUCAGUAUCCCUGGGACUUUUGCCAUUGAUUUUACCAGGAGCAGAACUGAAUCUGUGAUGAAUUAGCUACUGACAGGUUAUUUUAUACUAGACAAAGGAAAGUUUUGCACUUUCUAGUCAACAAAUGGAAAUGAACCGUAUACUUACUGUAAAUGUGGUGAAGAAGAUCCAUAAAAUAUUGUCUGUGGGAAAACUGAGCUAUGACUAUGGUUCUAGUGCAUGAAAUAUUUUGGUUUAUCCCGUUCUGAUUUUGUAAGAAAAAAUUGCUGGUCUCAGCUGUCAUAAUCAGAUUUGAAAAUUAAUCUCAAAAAUGGCUCUGAAGCCUGACUUCUACAAAACUUCUCAUCCCUGAGAAGCUAGAGUACCAACUCUGAUAAACCACUUUGGGGUUGCUGUAAGUGAAUGAAGAGUUAAAACCAGCUAUGCCUCCUUUCUGCUGCCUUUUAUUUGUUGAUGGACUUUUUUUCCCAUUAUAUUUCACUCCUUUCUUAGCAUAUAUAGAGGUUCAUCACCUGCCCUUGUUAAAUACUGUCCAAUUUUCCAGACAGACAGAGGGUAGGUCUUCCUGACUGUCAGGGCAGCUCCAGUACAGGGAGUAGAUUUGCAUCAUCCCAUUGCCACCUCUGGGCCUGUGUAACUUCUGCAACGGUGCCUUGGGCAGGUUUCUGAAGUAGCCUCCUUGUCUCAUGGGUACCAGAGAAGAAUGUAGGCUAGAGCAGCAUUCAUACUGCUAUGGAGUUGGGGAGAAAAAAAGACUUUGUGAUUAGUUUAUUUUUUUCAAGCGGUUGAGUUUGUCUAGUCCCUGGGCAUGCUUAAAGUUUGGGGUUUUUUUUAAUAGUUUCCAAGGCAGUUUUUAUCUACUUCUUGUUUUGCAAAGUUGCAUUUCAGUAUCUUCUUUUGCCCGUUUGACUACCUUGCUGCAGGAAAAAAAGAGAAGGAAAAUUCUUACAUAUGUAAAAAUAAGAGGGUGUGAUUUGAACCAUAAACUUUUUUUGAAAUUAUUUUUGUUGUGACUUUGCAGUGUAAACUAGUACUCAGUCACUUAAGACAGUUGUGUAGAUUUUAUUUUUCCUGUACCAUGCACAGUUGGGUCGGACCAGAAUAUCUGAGACAGGAGAUCCGGCUGGUACAAGAAAUUGUUAAGAGAGUUUGUUUAUUUAUUGUGUCAUUUUAUGAUAACUAUAAAAAAGCAUAGUGAAAUAUUGCUUUUUAUUAAAAAAGUAAUGAUUCUGAUCCUUGGUUUUAUAUAGGGUUUUAAAUCAUGAUCUCAAGAAGUGUUUUCUGUGAGUGUUUCUAUGAGAUGUCUGUUGGUAGGAUGCUGACAGAGGCUUAGCCAAAACUAUACAUCUCAGCACUUCCCAAGAAAGGUGAAUCUUUCUUGCACAUUAGAGUAUUUUAGAUCAAUGGGGUUUAAUCUUUCUACGUUGAUGCACGCAAAUGUUUGCAUUUUUCCCAUGGAAGUGUGGAGAUUAUUUAAGACAUUUCAGGUAAGUAGAUUCCUGUAUAGCAUAAACAGACUUGCUCAUCUUAGCUGCCUUUCACAGGCCUCUUGCAAAUAGUUCCCAGGUCUUCUCUGGACCAUAGAUCAAAAACUGCCUUGGGUUUAGAUUAUUCAGCGGAGAGAUUCUUUACUGGCUAAUGCACUGUGCCUUUCUGGUUCAUCUGCAUUAGCUCAAUGCCACAAUGUUUAAGCUUCAAACUCUGCAAGGGAAUGUCUAAUCAAAAUAAUAAUAAUUGAUUCUCAAAAGAGGUUUCAAGACCUACAUUUUUGGCUUCAGCAAAUUGCCCGUAUUACAAACACACAUCUGUAUUACAGAGCAGCACAAGGAGACCCUUCACCCAGCUCAGCACUUCAGAACAUACUUAAAAUAUGUUCAACUUCAGCUUCUAAGUGCUUUGCUCACUUGGGACCAAAGGAUAUGGUCCUGGCCAUGGCUGAACCAAAGGGAAAUUUGCCAUGUGCUUGAAUUGGAGAAAGGUUGGCCCUGUAGGCCAUAUGUUUCUUGCUACAUCUGACAGUUGUGCCUGUUAAAUUGAAAUUGAAGUAACAGCUUCAUACUUUUGUUUGUCAAAGUUUAACAAAUUCUGCUAAUUUUGUUUUGGGUUUUUUUUUUAAAUCACCAAAUAGUGAUCAGCUUAAUGGCUGAUUCACCUCAGAAUCUUCUUCCCGAGGAUUCUGACAGUUUACCUGUCACCUUCUUAACUUCAACACACAGGCUUCCACUGCAAGUGACUAAGAUGAAGCAACACUUUGAAAAGUAUCUGUAAUUUAUUAUCCUGAAACCCACAACUUCAGAGUCAGAUGCCUAGAUGUUUUGUCCUGAGCCACUGGUAGUUCUGGAAGCUUUUUUGUGGACAGUUUCUGUCUCCUUAAUUGUACAUCAGGACAGGACUACCAUCACCAGUACCAUCAUGACCAGUUAAUUACCAGCUCCUGCUGUGAUGUGCUUCAUUGAAGGCUACACCCAGCUAAGCUCUGAAAACAUUCAGUCAUUGGUAAAACUGAUGGUUGUGAGUGGUCUGCACCUUGCAAGAUUGUGGCCAGAAUUCACUAUUAAAGAGUUAGGUUAAUUCAUGUUUGAAAAUAAAUUGAAUUGAUCUAUUUUCAGUUUGGUUUUAAGAAAUGUGUUAUUGCAUUAUUGAAAGCUUUUUUUUUUUUUUUUUUUUUUGAGUUUUUUUAAUGUAUUAAUAAGCUGUAGCUAAUCCUUUGAAAACAUUCAUGCUGGAGAAAUUAAGAGCCUUCUCCCUUACAAAAUGUUUUACUGGGAGGUUGAUCUCUGAGUCAUGUUUUGGCUUGGCAGUGCAAUCAUACUGUCAUGAAGCUGACAAAAAAACUCUCAUUGAUUCAGUGGAAGUAAACUCAGGCCCUCAGUGCAGUGUCUUUAGGCUUGAAGGAGUUCAGGGUGAGUUUCUCAGCUUUGCAGUAGAACAGGCUGCAUCAGCCUUAGCUGACCUUGGCUCCAGUGCUAUUUUCACCUCAUGAAUGCCAUAAUGCUCCUGGAAAGCCAAGAAUAGACAUCAAAGACAGGAAGCUAAUAGUCCUGGUCAUAAAUUUCUCUGGCAAUUCAGUCCACCUUUCCCGGAGCUCAAGACAUUUCCACAUCCUUCACUGCCCUCCUCUGUGCUUCAGAGUGUGACCAUGUAGCAGUUCUAGUUCUUUCAGUAAAGCAGUUGAGGUUAUAUUUCCUCAUUUUUGCCCAGGGUAGAGUAAGCAGUCUUUAAUCCCCCUUUUUUUCAUGGUCUUUUGUGUAGAUUUAGAAGUACUUUGACAAGAGACAGCCAUUUUCCAUAACCUAAUCAGAAAUGUUCCUUCACUGCAAGUGUUGGCUUUCAUGUAAUUUCAGACAUGGUUCAUUGUCUCUGUGCUGCUCAGCUGCCAGCACACCUCGUGUUGGCCCGUGGCCACACCAGCCACUGUGUGAGAUCUAGACCCAGAAUUGUCUAUUGGGUUUUUUUAUCCUAAUUGUUGCUGCUAUAAAAUGAUGUCAGAUCUAGGCACCACCUUCCCCAAAGCAGGGCAUAUGGGAAGAGAAAUACAAGUUUCUAAUGGUACAUUACCUUUUCUCUUGGUUAGCAUUGUGGCCUAGUAACUCACCUCACAACAGUGAGCAAUAAAGAGACAAAUUUCAGCAAAGUGCAUGUUUUGGAGGAGUCAGUUUUAGUCCUUUUUAGAAACAAAGGAAUACAGGAGUUACUUUUUGGAAUAUAUUUUUAAGGACAUGCUGGAAAAAGUUUUGCCUUCAGAUAUGUUGUAUGUGUCACUUCUCCUCCCCCCUUUCCUUCUUGCUGUUGAAAGCACAAAAAGAUUUGUGUGUGUGUGAAACCUUUCAAGUGGGAGAAUGGAAGAGUUUGCACUGUGCAUAUCCCUGCUUAGAGAUGGAAAUUAAUUCAGAUGGCUUGAGGCCUGAAUUUUUUUCCCUUCUUAGAUACCUUCUAACAUCUGAGGUCUGAAACUGAUGAAAAAUGAUUGUUGAAAUUAAAACAAAUAGCUGUUUGUGGGAGACCUCAGACUUGGCUGUCUACAGGGGUCAGCAAGCUGCGUGGCAGACAUUGGUAGUGUCUGUUCUCUUCUAGAGAAUAAAAGAAAGCCUAAGCACUGGGGUUUGUCCCAGUGAAGUCUUAAGUCUGUCUUAAAUGCAGCUCUCCCUUUAUCUCACCCACAGAGGAAGAAAGGAUAAAGGUUAAUGUUGGUAUUUUUAUGGUGUUACUGCUGGUUUCAAUUGAGAAGAUAAUGCUGCCAUGGUUUUGAGGCUUUCUUGGGCUAGUGUUUAAUUGUGUCCAGUGUAUCAUUACAUAGACUGUUUUAUUACACUAUUACUUCCAGAAUUUACCUUCUAGGAGGUCCUAACUGACAUGCACCAGAUUUACAGAAUACAAACCUAGCUUUCAAAAAGAGAGGCUUAGAGUUCCUUCAAAAUCUUUCACUAACCACUAAGUUAAUAUUCAGCAUCAAAGGCAAAAUAUUCUAAAUAACCUGACACUGUUCAAGUUUGUAUGUUAAGCUGUAUAACUUCAGAAAUCUUAGGUGGAUUCAUUAGAUGUUGAAUCUUUGAAAGGUUAAAAUCCACUCUGUGUGAACUGUUGCUUGAUGUUUCUGUCAUGUGAAUGUUUCUAGAGGACAGUUGAGCAAGCAAAGAAAAUGUACCAAAAUGAGUAUUUAAGAAAAUAAUCUCAUUUAGUUGUUUCUUUUGUAAUCUCAAAUGGUAUGCACAGGGAACACACAAUUCUUCCCCCAGGCCCCCAGCUAUGGACAAAGGUUUUGCUAAUUAGUUGUUUACUGACAGCAGACAUAAUGAGCACAGGUGUCUUGGUUCAUAGUUGAGGAUGAUCUGGACUUCUCUUUCUCUGAGAACAGUGUAUGAAGUGUGAUAGAGGAACGAGCCAUCAAUGGUCAUUUUUCUGUGUUCUGUGUGAGAGGUAAAUGUUUCCUCGCAUAUUUAGUAGCGCCCUGAUGUAACAUUGAGAUCACUUCUGCCAUAUGUGAUCCAUGGGAUUGAAAGAUCUGUUGAAAAUACAGAUCUUUGGGUUAGGGUUAGAGGGGACCUUAAAUAUCAUAGUUCCAACCCCUCUGCUGAAGCAUCUGCAGCUGAGAGAAGAGGGAAAAUGCUCAGGCACUGACUGUACUCCCACGAUGAUGCUAUUGACUGUAUGGAGGAUGGGAUUGAGUUCCUUCUGCACAGUACCAUCUUUAUUGUUCAAUAUCUGCUCUCUUAGAGAUGCAGCAGAAAGCUUUUAAAUCUCACACAGCCCCCCUGCCUUAAAUGCAGACAGGAUUUAAGUGGUGCAUGGGGCCUGCUCAGGGUGUACUGUGUCCUUAGGUUGGGUAUUUACCCAGUAACAAUGGCGUCUUCACUGCACAGGUCUCAAAGUGCUGAGAAAACUUGAGUGAAGUGGCAGGAUGAAGGCAGUGGGUAGAAUUUGCAGUGUUUCUUGUGCAUAACUAUCAAAAACUAAGAGGACUCAGGAUAGACACUGUGGACAUUAACUUUGUCCCCCUUUUUUUCAGUGAUACUGUUAUUAAUGUAAAAAUACUGGACAACAGAGAAACCUAGUACCAGUCUAGUAGAAAACAAAUGGAAAGCUGCACAGUAUAUUGUACUGAUAAAUCAGUAAUGAUUAAUGUUUUACCCCCACUAUAUUAUACAUCUUCAGGGAAGACGGCAGGAAGACAGACUUCUGACAUCUUUCCUUCAUUGACAGCAAUGGAAAAAAGUCUCAUCAACUUUCCUAAAAUGAGCUUUUCACUCAGGCUUGGGAAUAUGGCUUGAGAGAUCAUUGACUGAAUUUGUGUUCAGUGCAUGACCCCCGGGCUAUUAGUGCAUGCCCAACAUGUCAUUAUCUUCACAGUGACAGGACUUUCUUCCACUGUCGCUAGAUUAAUCAUUUUUUUUAGUAGCUUGUCCUUCAAAAUAAAUGCUUGAGAUAUGUGUGAUGAAUUGUGUACAUGUAUAUGUAUAUCAAUAUUUAUGAAACAGUUCAUCCAAGUGUGUUGGGUAUCCUUUUGUCAGAGAGCAUCAGCCAGUCUGACAGGUAAAAAUUUCGUGUAGUGAAAUUACUUAAGGCAAUUGAUCUUCAGUGGUAGCAACUUUUGGAUAUCAUUUUAGAUAUCCUGAAACCUAGCUGGACACAUUUUUGCGGCUUUCUUAGGAAACUAUUUCUUGAGGAACAUUCAUCACAUUUCUGAAAAAUUAUGGUGGCCUUUGAGCCAAAUCUUGGUCUUGAACCUCUGCCAAUGUUUUCUUGAGUUGAAAGAGCACUGCCAAUAAAAAAUAAUUGUACAACUGACAGAA